This 212-nucleotide ribosomal RNA is filed under the name uncultured bacterium. Its description in RNAcentral is "partial 16S ribosomal RNA". It matches the Rfam family "Bacterial small subunit ribosomal RNA", at positions 1280 to 1500 of the family's 1533-position model. The record is from RNAcentral.
AACCUGUCUCAGUUCGGAUUGGAGUCUGCAACCCGACUCCAUGAAGCUGGAUUCGCUAGUAAUCGCGCAUCAGCCACGGCGCGGUGAAUACGUUCCCGGGCCUUGUACACACCGCCCGUCAAGCCAUGGGAGCCGGGGUGCCUGAAGGCCGUGACCGCGAGGAGCGGCCUAGGGUAAAACUGGUGACUGGGGCUAAGUCGUAACAAGGUACC